GCAGUAGAGCAGAGAUGUGACCAGGUAGGUGCGUCCGAUCACCGAAGUUAAGCAAUGUCGGGCCCGGUCAGUACUUGGGAGGGUGGCCUGUCGACCCA
Molecule: non-coding RNA, 98 nt
Organism: Cordylochernes scorpioides
Lineage: Eukaryota; Metazoa; Arthropoda; Arachnida; Pseudoscorpiones; Chernetidae
Source: the annotation of a GenBank genome assembly